AAUCCUUAAAAUUUUUGAAGAGAUGAUACUUUUUUAAUGUCACUCUCUAAUGCGUAACAUAAAUUAAAGAGCGUCAUGUUUUGCACGUCGUAAAAGGCUGUUUUUCUAGUAGUGUGAACCGAAAGUAGACGGAGAAUAUAAGGAGGUGGCUUAAGAACCGAAUGUACCUUCUGCUAGAUAAUCAUGACAGAGCAGAAUAACUCUUAACUCAUAUGAGAAGAGUAAGGUAGGUCUAGACCGAGUGNCGUGUUUUGCGCGUCGUAAAAGGCUGUUUUUCUAGUAGUGCUUGUUGCUAAGGUUUGGGUGUGAACCAUUAGAGGCGAACCACUUAUGGCACUUGCUUCCAAGAGUCUUUCAAGGAGGAAUACAAGAUUGUUUACAACAACAAUCGUUAAAAUAAGUUUCUUUGUCUUAUGAAUUAGUUUGUUCAUAGGAAUUUUUUUGUAUGCUAGUGUUCAUAGUAUGUUGCUAUAUGUGAAAGAAAAAAGAUCCUAUUAGGUUGCAUGUGCCCUAACCAUUUGAAUUGUUUAAAUGUUUCCUGCUUAGUGCAUUAGAGUUUUAACCCUAAUAACCCAUCAGUGGUAUCAGAGCCUUGGCUAUUAUUUCAUGUAUUUUCACAUUGGUGAAUCAAAAAGAAACCUGGUGUUUCAUUUUUCGCAGCUCACGACGUAAGCAAAGAGGCUCACGACAUGAGCUCAGUCAGAUCCG
RNAcentral lists this long non-coding RNA (708 nucleotides) under Lactuca sativa (garden lettuce). RNAcentral's name for it is "long non-coding RNA (LSAT_LNC006407)". The record is from RNAcentral. Lineage: Eukaryota; Viridiplantae; Streptophyta; Magnoliopsida; Asterales; Asteraceae.